CAAAGUCAAGGACUGAGAUGCUGGU
Molecule: non-coding RNA, 25 nt
Filed under: Cricetulus griseus (Chinese hamster)
Lineage: Eukaryota; Metazoa; Chordata; Mammalia; Rodentia; Cricetidae
Also listed under: 1 other name
Source: RNAcentral